GCGUCAUUAACUCAGUGGUAGAGUAUCUGCCUUUUAAGCAGAGAGUCGCGGGUUCGAAUCCCGCAUGGCGCACCA
RNAcentral lists this transfer RNA (75 nucleotides) under Butyricicoccus intestinisimiae. Its description in RNAcentral is "tRNA-Lys". It matches the Rfam family "tRNA". From Rfam's summary of the family: Transfer RNA (tRNA) molecules are approximately 80 nucleotides in length. Their secondary structure includes four short double-helical elements and three loops (D, anti-codon, and T loops). The record is from RNAcentral. Lineage: Bacteria; Bacillati; Bacillota; Clostridia; Eubacteriales; Butyricicoccaceae.